This 1562-nucleotide ribosomal RNA is filed under the name Vibrio parahaemolyticus. RNAcentral describes it as "bacterial SSU rRNA". It matches the Rfam family "Bacterial small subunit ribosomal RNA". The record is from RNAcentral. Lineage: Bacteria; Pseudomonadati; Pseudomonadota; Gammaproteobacteria; Vibrionales; Vibrionaceae.
AAAUUGAAGAGUUUGAUCAUGGCUCAGAUUGAACGCUGGCGGCAGGCCUAACACAUGCAAGUCGAGCGGAAACGAGUUGUCUGAACCUUCGGGGAACGAUAACGGCGUCGAGCGGCGGACGGGUGAGUAAUGCCUAGGAAAUUGCCCUGAUGUGGGGGAUAACCAUUGGAAACGAUGGCUAAUACCGCAUGAUGCCUACGGGCCAAAGAGGGGGACCUUCGGGCCUCUCGCGUCAGGAUAUGCCUAGGUGGGAUUAGCUAGUUGGUGAGGUAAGGGCUCACCAAGGCGACGAUCCCUAGCUGGUCUGAGAGGAUGAUCAGCCACACUGGAACUGAGACACGGUCCAGACUCCUACGGGAGGCAGCAGUGGGGAAUAUUGCACAAUGGGCGCAAGCCUGAUGCAGCCAUGCCGCGUGUGUGAAGAAGGCCUUCGGGUUGUAAAGCACUUUCAGUCGUGAGGAAGGUAGUGUAGUUAAUAGCUGCAUUAUUUGACGUUAGCGACAGAAGAAGCACCGGCUAACUCCGUGCCAGCAGCCGCGGUAAUACGGAGGGUGCGAGCGUUAAUCGGAAUUACUGGGCGUAAAGCGCAUGCAGGUGGUUUGUUAAGUCAGAUGUGAAAGCCCGGGGCUCAACCUCGGAAUUGCAUUUGAAACUGGCAGACUAGAGUACUGUAGAGGGGGGUAGAAUUUCAGGUGUAGCGGUGAAAUGCGUAGAGAUCUGAAGGAAUACCGGUGGCGAAGGCGGCCCCCUGGACAGAUACUGACACUCAGAUGCGAAAGCGUGGGGAGCAAACAGGAUUAGAUACCCUGGUAGUCCACGCCGUAAACGAUGUCUACUUGGAGGUUGUGGCCUUGAGCCGUGGCUUUCGGAGCUAACGCGUUAAGUAGACCGCCUGGGGAGUACGGUCGCAAGAUUAAAACUCAAAUGAAUUGACGGGGGCCCGCACAAGCGGUGGAGCAUGUGGUUUAAUUCGAUGCAACGCGAAGAACCUUACCUACUCUUGACAUCCAGAGAACUUUCCAGAGAUGGAUUGGUGCCUUCGGGAACUCUGAGACAGGUGCUGCAUGGCUGUCGUCAGCUCGUGUUGUGAAAUGUUGGGUUAAGUCCCGCAACGAGCGCAACCCUUAUCCUUGUUUGCCAGCGAGUAAUGUCGGGAACUCCAGGGAGACUGCCGGUGAUAAACCGGAGGAAGGUGGGGACGACGUCAAGUCAUCAUGGCCCUUACGAGUAGGGCUACACACGUGCUACAAUGGCGCAUACAGAGGGCGGCCAACUUGCGAAAGUGAGCGAAUCCCAAAAAGUGCGUCGUAGUCCGGAUUGGAGUCUGCAACUCGACUCCAUGAAGUCGGAAUCGCUAGUAAUCGUGGAUCAGAAUGCCACGGUGAAUACGUUCCCGGGCCUUGUACACACCGCCCGUCACACCAUGGGAGUGGGCUGCAAAAGAAGUAGGUAGUUUAACCUUCGGGGGGACGCUUACCACUUUGUGGUUCAUGACUGGGGUGAAGUCGUAACAAGGUAGCGCUAGGGGAACCUGGCGCUGGAUCACCUCCUUAUACGAUGAU